CCGGCUAACUUCGUGCCAGCAGCCGCGGUAAUACGAAGGGUGCAAGCGUUACUCGGAAUUACUGGGCGUAAAGCGUGCGUAGGCGGUGGUUUAAGUCUGAUGUGAAAUCCCCGGGCUCAACCUGGGAAUGGCAUUGGAUACUGGAUCGCUAGAGUACGGUAGAGGGUGGUGGAAUUCCCGGUGUAGCAGUGAAAUGCGUAGAGAUCGGGAGGAACAUCUGUGGCGAAGGCGGCCACCUGGACCAGUACUGACGCUGAGGCACGAAAGCGUGGGGAGCAAACAGGAUUAGAUACCCUGGUAGUCCACGCCCUAAACGAUGCGAACUGGAUGUUGGGGGGAACUUGCCCUUCAGUAUCGAAGCUAACGCGUUAAGUUCGCCGCCUGGGGAGUACGGUCGCAAGACUGAAACUCAAAGGAAUUGACGGGGGCCCGCACAAGCGGUGGAGUAUGUGGUUUAAUUCGAUGCAACGCGAAGAACCUUACCUGGCCUUGACAUCCACGGAACCCCUGAGAGAUUGGGGGGUGCCUUCGGGAACCGUGAGACAGGUGCUGCA
This 554-nucleotide ribosomal RNA is filed under the name uncultured Gammaproteobacteria bacterium. RNAcentral describes it as "bacterial SSU rRNA". It matches the Rfam family "Bacterial small subunit ribosomal RNA", at positions 493 to 1045 of the family's 1533-position model. The record is from RNAcentral. Lineage: Bacteria; Pseudomonadati; Pseudomonadota; Gammaproteobacteria.